This 403-nucleotide ribosomal RNA is filed under the name uncultured bacterium. RNAcentral describes it as "partial 16S ribosomal RNA". It matches the Rfam family "Bacterial small subunit ribosomal RNA", at positions 30 to 526 of the family's 1533-position model. The record is from RNAcentral.
AUUGAACGCUGGCGGCAGGCCUAACACAUGCAAGUCGAGCGAGCGGCGGACGGGUGAGUAAUGUAUGGGGACUGCCCGAUAGAGGGGGAUAACUACUGGAAACGGUGGCUACUACCGCAUACUAUCGGAUAACCCAUAUGGGAUUAGCUAGGAGGUGGGGUAAAGGCUCACCUAGGCUACGAUCUCUAGCUGGUCUGAGAGGGUGAUCAGCAACACUGGGACUGAGACACGGCCCAGACGCCAACGGAGGCAGCAGUGGGGAAUAUUGCACAAUGGGCGAAAGCCUGAUGCAGCCAUGCCGCGUGUAUGAAGAAGGCCUUAGGGUUGUAAAGUACGUUCAGCGGGGAGGCGGUACCCGCAGAAGAAGCACCGGCUAACUCCGUGCCAGCAGCCGCGGUAAUUC